AUUGAACGCUGGCGGCAUGCUUUACACAUGCAAGUCGAACGGGCUUGGGGGCUUGCUCCCAAGUUAGUGGCGAACGGGUGAGUAAUACAUCGGAACGUACCGUGUAGUGGGGGAUAACGUAGCGAAAGUUACGCUAAUACCGCAUACAAUCUACGGAUGAAAGCAGGGGACCUUCGGGCCUUGUGCUAUACGAGCGGCCGAUGUCUGAUUAGCUAGUUGGUGAGGUAAAGGCUCACCAAGGCGACGAUCAGUAGCGGGUCUGAGAGGAUGAUCCGCCACACUGGGACUGAGACACGGCCCAGACUCCUACGGGAGGCAGCAGUGGGGAAUUUUGGACAAUGGGCGAAAGCCUGAUCCAGCCAUGCCGCGUGUCUGAAGAAGGCCUUCGGUUGUAAGGAC
Molecule: ribosomal RNA, 399 nt
Filed under: uncultured bacterium
Lineage: Bacteria
Description: bacterial SSU rRNA
Rfam family: Bacterial small subunit ribosomal RNA
Source: RNAcentral